Molecule: ribosomal RNA, 1346 nt
Filed under: uncultured bacterium
Lineage: Bacteria
Description: bacterial SSU rRNA
Rfam family: Bacterial small subunit ribosomal RNA
Source: RNAcentral
GACGAACGCUGGCGGCGUGCUUAACACAUGCAAGUCGAACGGAAAGGCCCUGCUUUUGUGGGGUGCUCGAGUGGCGAACGGGUGAGUAACACGUGAGUAACCUGCCCUUGACUUUGGGAUAACUUCAGGAAACUGGGGCUAAUACCGGAUAGGAGCUCCUGCUGCAUGGUGGGGGUUGGAAAGUUUCGGCGGUUGGGGAUGGACUCGCGGCUUAUCAGCUUGUUGGUGGGGUAGUGGCUUACCAAGGCUUUGACGGGUAGCCGGCCUGAGAGGGUGACCGGCCACAUUGGGACUGAGAUACGGCCCAGACUCCUACGGGAGGCAGCAGUGGGGAAUAUUGCACAAUGGGCGGAAGCCUGAUGCAGCAACGCCGCGUGCGGGAUGACGGCCUUCGGGUUGUAAACCGCUUUCGCCUGUGACGAAGCGUGAGUGACGGUAAUGGGUAAAGAAGCACCGGCUAACUACGUGCCAGCAGCCGCGGUGAUACGUAGGGUGCGAGCGUUGUCCGGAUUUAUUGGGCGUAAAGGGCUCGUAGGUGGUUGAUCGCGUCGGAAGUGUAAUCUUGGGGCUUAACCCUGAGCGUGCUUUCGAUACGGGUUGACUUGAGGAAGGUAGGGGAGAAUGGAAUUCCUGGUGGAGCAGUGGAAUGCGCAGAUAUCAGGAGGAACACCAGUGGCGAAGGCGGUUCUCUGGGCCUUUCCUGACGCUGAGGAGCGAAAGCGUGGGGAGCGAACAGGCUUAGAUACCCUGGUAGUCCACGCUGUAAACGGUGGGUACUAGGUGUGGGGUCCAUUCCACGGGUUCCGUGCCGUAGCUAACGCUUUAAGUACCCCGCCUGGGGAGUACGGCCGCAAGGCUAAAACUCAAAGGAAUUGACGGGGCCCCGCACAAGCGGCGGAGCAUGCGGAUUAAUUCGAUGCAACGCGUAGAACCUUACCUGGGUUUGACAUGGAUCGGGAGUGCCCAGAGAUGGGUGUGCCUCUUUUGGGGUCGGUUCACAGGUGGUGCAUGGCUGUCGUCAGCUCGUGUCGUGAGAUGUUGGGUUAAGUCCCGCAACGAGCGCAACCCUUGUUCACUGUUGCCAGCACGUUAUGGUGGGGACUCAGUGGAGACCGCCGGGGUCAACUCGGAGGAAGGUGGGGAUGACGUCAAGUCAUCAUGCCCCUUAUGUCCAGGGCUUCACGCAUGCUACAAUGGCUGGUACAGAGAGUGGCGAGCCUGUGAGGGUGAGCGAAUCUCGGAAAGCCGGUCUCAGUUCGGAUUGGGGUCUGCAACUCGACCUCAUGAAGUCGGAGUCGCUAGUAAUCGCAGAUCAGCAACGCUGCGGUGAAUACGUUCCCGGGGCU